UACGGAGGGUGCGAGCGUUGUCCGGAAUCAUUGGGCGUAAAGGGCGCGUAGGUGGCCCGGUCAGUUCGUGGUGAAAGCGCGGGGCUCAACCCUGCGUCGGCCAUGAAUACUGCCGCGGCUGGAGCACUGUAGAGGCAGGCGGAAUUCCGGGUGUAGCGGUGGAAUGCGUAGAGAUCCGGAAGAACACCGGUGGCGAAGGCGGGUCUACUGGGCCGUAACUGACGCUGAGGAGCGAAAGCGUGGGAGCGAACAGG
RNAcentral lists this ribosomal RNA (254 nucleotides) under uncultured bacterium. RNAcentral's name for it is "partial 16S ribosomal RNA". It matches the Rfam family "Bacterial small subunit ribosomal RNA", at positions 524 to 776 of the family's 1533-position model. The record is from RNAcentral.